Molecule: non-coding RNA, 1029 nt
Organism: Paramormyrops kingsleyae
Lineage: Eukaryota; Metazoa; Chordata; Actinopteri; Osteoglossiformes; Mormyridae
Source: RefSeq, a predicted model, not a curated record
GCAGCAGUUUGCAGCACGUCUUUUAAUUGCUGUUAACAUCGAAUCUGGCUUAGCUGCUUUCCUUUGUCAUUGUAAAUUAGAAAAAACAUAUUUCCCAUCAAUGUUUAUCUAACCGCUGCAAAAUUUGCCUGGUGUGUUUAGCUUGUUAAAAGACGAAUGCCGAUUUUACCGGGACCAGUACUACUGGAGGGGUCCUUAUCGCAUGCUGCAAUUGGAUUUUAAAGAGCUCUGUUCACCAGUGACUGGAAUGUCAAGGGGAAGUGCAAGUACAACAUCCCAGGCGUUUCUGUUCAUGAAACUGGUGAUCGAGUAUGCCUAUACCCACUCUGUGCGCAUCACGGUCAAUAACAUGGAGAGCCUCCUGGCGGCCGGUGAUCAGUUAAACAUCCCGGGCAUUGUACAGCACUGCAGUGACUUCCUGACUGUCCAGCUCUGCGUCAGUAACUGCAUUGGCAUUUACAGCACGGCGAACAGCUAUUGACUCCCCGAGCUGCGCCAGUCUGCCUUCCACUUUCUCCUGGAAAACUUCACGGAUGUCGCCAGCACCUCACAGGAAUUCCCGGAGCUCACCCUGCACCAGCUCUGUGAGGUCAUUGAGAAGGAUGAGCUCAGUGUAGAACAGGAGGAAGUGGUCUUUGACGCCAUCCUGCGCUGGAUCUUCCAUGAGCCUGCCAGCCUCAAGGCCCACAUUUCUAUGCUGUUGCCUAAGGUGUGAAUGGCUCGCAUGGACGGAAAAUACAUCAAGUAUGUGAUGAACCAUGACCUAGUGAAGGGCAAUGAGGAGUUCAGGCCCAUUAUUAAUGACACUUUGAAGGUCAUGGACCUGGACAUUAAUGGUCCCCCACAAUCGGACUUUGAGCACCCGCUGGUCCGCCCACGCCUGCCCGCUGACAUCUUGCUGGCCAUUGGUGGCUGGAAUGACCGGCCAAGCAAUGUGAUCGAGGCGUAUGAUUCGAGAGCCGACCGCUGGGUAAAUGUGACGCAGCAGGGUGACAAACCCCGGGCCCACCAUGGCAUGGUGUACCUCAA